UACGUAGGGGGCUAGCGUUGUCCGGAUUUAUUGGGCGUAAAGAGCUCGUAGGCGGUCUGUCGCGUCUGCUGUGAAAACUCGGGGCUUAACCCCGGGCCUGCAGUGGGUACGGGCAGACUAGAGUGCGGUAGGGGAGACUGGAAUUCCUGGUGUAGCGGUGAAAUGCGCAGAUAUCAGGAGGAACACCGGUGGCGAAGGCGGGUCUCUGGGCCGUAACUGACGCUGAGGAGCGAAAGCGUGGGGAGCGAACAGG
Molecule: ribosomal RNA, 253 nt
Filed under: uncultured bacterium
Lineage: Bacteria
Description: partial 16S ribosomal RNA
Rfam family: Bacterial small subunit ribosomal RNA
Source: RNAcentral